RNAcentral lists this ribosomal RNA (245 nucleotides) under uncultured bacterium. Its description in RNAcentral is "partial 16S ribosomal RNA". It matches the Rfam family "Bacterial small subunit ribosomal RNA", at positions 524 to 768 of the family's 1533-position model. The record is from RNAcentral.
UACGUAUGGGGCGAGCGUUAUUCGGAUUCAUUGGGCGUAAAGCGUAUGUCGGGGGCUUGUUAAGUCGAGGGUGAAAUUUUCAGGCUUAACCUGAAAACUGCUCUCGAUACUGGCAGGCUAGAGUUCGAAAGAGGAGAUUGGAAUUCCAGGUGUAGGGGUGAAAUCUGUAGAUAUCUGGAAGAACACCAGUGGCGAAGGCGAAUCUCUGGUUCGAAACUGACCCUUAGAUACGAAAGCCAGGGGAG